Non-coding RNA from Brachypodium distachyon (stiff brome), 129 nucleotides. The record is from Rfam. NCBI's taxonomy places the organism in Eukaryota, Viridiplantae, Streptophyta, Magnoliopsida, Poales, Poaceae.
GUACUACUCCCUCCGUCCCAUAUUAAGUGACGUAAUGCAUGUUACAUGUAUCUAGACGCUUUUUGGGUAUAGAUACAUCCAUAUUUGGACAAAUUUGAGUCACUUAAUAUGGGACGGAGGGAGUACAAU